Molecule: long non-coding RNA, 1740 nt
Organism: Chelonoidis abingdonii (Abingdon island giant tortoise)
Lineage: Eukaryota; Metazoa; Chordata; Testudines; Testudinidae
Source: RefSeq, a predicted model, not a curated record
UCCAUCUUGUCCUCUAGAAGCUCAGAAUACUAGGCCUGUUACUCGGCUGUGAGACAGGCAGUGUCCAUCUACGUAACGAACAAACGAGACAUACCAGGUCCACUCAGCCCUGAUGGGCAGGAUAAACUGCACCUAAGGAUAAAAUUAGCCCACAGACUGUGUUGCUACCCUCUCCCCCCCCCCCACUGCACUGGUUGCAAAUUAAACACCCAAGCUCAAUAGCCAUUAAACAUGCCUCCCCUGGUAGCCAGGCAGCAGCAGCAGUUUUCUCCAGUAGUUCUCAUGAAUGGUGGCACUGCAGAUAGGCCGUUAGGAAGCACUAAAACAACCAUAUCAGUUUGACCUGUAGAUAUGAAAAACACAGGUGGGGAGCAAAUUCCAUGUGUGUGGGGGGAAAAAUAACAUAGGCCUCGACCCUUGGCUCUGGACAGUGGGAGGAAACAUACUGUAUCCCUGUCCAGAGGCUGUGGAAUGGAGGCCUCUGCUGCACUGUUCCCCUUCCAGUGGGGAUCCACAUAUGUGGAUGGGAGCUCUCCAUUCAUCUUCCACCAUCAGACUGACUGCAAAGAGCCCUUCUGGCUUGGCCCAAGAUCUGUGUGAAACUCUGGGAGUGGUGAGUUUUGCCAAUGGGUGGGUUUAAAACCCUUCUAAUUCUGCAGGGAGGCAGCUUCCGUGGAUAACCUAUACAUGAUCUGGUGGGGAAACUGAGAGAAACCUCUCUUGGUUUUCUAUUGCCACCUGUUUUUUUCCCACCCAGCUAUUUGGGCCAUAAUAUCGAUUGCUCUGCAUCAGCUCAUGCACCAUGCUAGUGGGAGAAUCUGCUUGGAGGCAGAGAGAAAUUGUAUAUUUGAUCCAAAUUUCCAGUGCAGUCCGGCUUCAUCUGUUAUCAUCCUUCAGAGCAGAGCAAAAAGCGCAUAUAUGGUGUGGUUCUAGGUUUCCCAGACCUGCUUUGUCACAGGAAUAUGUGAACACAGGAUCAGCCUUGCAAGGGCAGAGAGCUAAAUACAGUAUCCAAAAGAGAAGUUCAUGAGAUGAGCAGGGAUCUGCGGCCCAGUGCUACAUUUUUAGCCCACUCAAAGCCUACUGCAGUCACUGGGCUCAAGUUCACCAUUGCUCUGCACUUGGGGCAGUCAUUUACACGAGUGCAAAGUGAGUAUCCGAAUGGCGGCAUUGCACACCUGUGUUGGACUGGUGUGAAUGAUAGGCCCAGGGCAACACCGAAGGGGCCUUGGGAGUGCAAGGACUAUACAUCCAGGCCCCUGGACAUUCCCAGGUUGUUUCUCUGUGCCCCAUGUAGGAGUGUUCCUGUGCAUGUAGCCAGGGUAAGUCCAUGUUUGGGACUGGAGCAGUUUGCGUAGAGUUGAGCUGGGACGCUGCCUCCAUCUGAGCAGCUCGGCCUCUGGCCCUGCUGGCUCCUAGGAAGAAGGCUUUGUGGUGCUCUCCAGGUUUGUUGUCUUUCAGUGACUCUAGAUCAGGUGCGCUUGGUUUAUAAGUAGCAUUUUUCUAACUGGCAGCCCUGCAAGGUGCCCUUGGGAACCAGGAGUCAAGCUCGGUUGUACAUAAGGCUCGGGGAGUUAACGGUUCUGACGGUUUACAGGCCAGAACUGACUCUUGCUCCCUCUGCUGUAGCUUGGCUCUCCGGGGCCAAUGGGAAUAAAACCAACGACAUUUAUUUUAGUCGGUGAAGUUGGCAGAUGAGGCUCUGAUACACCCAGGGAGCACAGAGGAACGUGCCAAUUU